RNAcentral lists this long non-coding RNA (893 nucleotides) under Cricetulus griseus (Chinese hamster). RNAcentral's name for it is "lncRNA (ENSCGRG00000026189.1)". The record is from RNAcentral. Lineage: Eukaryota; Metazoa; Chordata; Mammalia; Rodentia; Cricetidae.
GGAUUCGGGAGCAGGCAGAGACUCACUCACAUAGUUCCUCGGUGGUUGGCGGCGGAAUCCCAAACUACUUUCAUGUUUUGAAUAAGAAGAAGGUGAUUUUCAUGCAUUAUAAAACUGUAUUUGAAUGGUAAGUGAUGUUUUAUUAUUUUUAAAUAGCUGACAUUAUAAAUGGAUAUAAGGCCCAUGUUUGCAGGGCAUUUUGACAGAAUUGAUAUAAGUUGUUACACUCAAUGAAGAUCUCUCCAUACAGGUAAGAUUAUGAUCUAGACAAGUCUGCACUGGAAAGAAGCUAAGUGUCCAGCUCCUCAUCUUCCACUUGGCAGUGCCACUGGCUUAAAGUACUGGUUACCUGUGGAAACAGAGGAAUCUCAUCAGCUACUUAUUUUCCUCCCAUUUGUAUGGUGACUGCCCAUUUCCUCCACAGAGCCUUCCUUAACUGACUGCUUCCACCAGUGACACAAAGAUAUAUCUGCAGUCGCAUCUUAGUUUUCCAGUGAAAUUACAUUAGUGUCCACAUCCUAUGGGUACAGUUUCAAGUGAGCAGAGGUGAACCCUUAUAAGGAAUAGGAAGAGAUGGCUGACUCUCUUGGGUCGUGGUGAAAGCACUCUACAGCAGGAUGACCAGAGCAGUUAUUUCCUAUUAUUUGUGUACAGUUCUGAGCCAGUCUCAUUGAGAUGACAAUCAGGACUCCAUCAUUGGUCAGGAGAAGCCACAACACUUGUAUCUGCUCUAAGGUGAACUGGCACAUACCUGAAACGUGGACAACAGGUCUCAUUUAAAUUGAGAAAAUACUUGGUUUCUGAAGGUCUGAUGGUGUUUGGAUUGUUUCUAGUCUGUCCUGAGGGAAACGGUCUUCAGGCAAGAUGUGUGAACUGGUGACUUGUGAUCACCC